AUUGAACGCUGGCGGCAGGCCUAACACAUGCAAGUCGAGCGGAUGAAGGGAGCUUGCUCCUGGAUUCAGCGGCGGACGGGUGAGUAAUGCCUAGGAAUCUGCCUGGUAGUGGGGGAUAACGUCCGGAAACGGGCGCUAAUACCGCAUACGUCCUGAGGGAGAAAGUGGGGGAUCUUCGGACCUCACGCUAUCAGAUGAGCCUAGGUCGGAUUAGCUAGUUGGUGGGGUAAAGGCCUACCAAGGCGACGAUCCGUAACUGGUCUGAGAGGGUAAUCAGUCACACUGGAACUGAGACACGGUCCAGACUCCUACGGGAGGCAGCAGUGGGGAAUAUUGGACAAUGGGCGAAAGCCUGAUCCAGCCAUGCCGCGUGUGUGAAGAAGGUCUUCGGAUUGUAAAGCACUUUAAGUUGGGAGGAAGGGCAGUAAGUUAAUACCUUGCUGUUUUGACGUUACCAACAGAAUAAGCACCGGCUAACUUCGUG
This 484-nucleotide ribosomal RNA is filed under the name uncultured bacterium. Its description in RNAcentral is "partial 16S ribosomal RNA". It matches the Rfam family "Bacterial small subunit ribosomal RNA", at positions 30 to 507 of the family's 1533-position model. The record is from RNAcentral.